Molecule: ribosomal RNA, 274 nt
Filed under: uncultured bacterium
Lineage: Bacteria
Description: partial 16S ribosomal RNA
Rfam family: Bacterial small subunit ribosomal RNA
Source: RNAcentral
AUACGGAGGGGGCUAGCGUUGUUCGGAAUUACUGGGCGUAAAGCGCGCGUAGGCGGAUCGUUAAGUCAGGGGUGAAAGCCCGGAGCUCAACUCCGGAACUGCCCUUGAUACUGGCGAUCUCGAGUCGGGGAGAGGUGAGCGGAAUUCCUAGUGUAGAGGUGAAAUUCGUAGAUAUUAGGAGGAACACCAGUGGCGAAGGCGGCUCACUGGCCCGGUACUGACGCUGAGGUGCGAAAGCGUGGGGAGCAAACAGGAUUAGAAACCCCAGUAGUCC